GCAACCCUUACUCAUUAGUUGCUAACAUUCAGUUGAGAACUCUAAUGAGACUGCCAGUGAUAAACUGGAGGAAGGUGGGGAUGACGUCAAAUCAUCAUGCCCCUUAUGACCUGGGCUACACACGUGCUACAAUGGCCGGUACAAAGAGUUGCGAAACUGUGAAGUUAAGCUAAUCUCAUAAAGCCGGUCUCAGUUCGGAUUGUAGUCUGCAACUCGACUACAUGAAGUCGGAAUCGCUAGUAAUCGCGAAUCAGAAUGUCGCGGUGAAUACGUUCUCGAGUCUU
Molecule: ribosomal RNA, 284 nt
Filed under: uncultured Bacillota bacterium
Lineage: Bacteria; Bacillati; Bacillota
Description: uncultured Firmicutes bacterium partial 16S ribosomal RNA
Rfam family: Bacterial small subunit ribosomal RNA
Source: RNAcentral